GAGAGGAGGAAGAGGAAGACGAGGACCUCACAUGAAUCUGCCAUAUGCUGCCGACGUCCUCCGUCAGCUGCAGAUCGUCAGAUCGACAGAUUUAUGAUUUAUUCCAACAGCUUCAGGAACCACAGGGAAAACCCUGUGGCAGCAGAAGGCCAGAGACCGAGGCUCCGGGCCCGGGUAGGAGACCAGCCAUGCCUGGGCCUCUCCGUCCAGACCUCCCGCAGAACCUGCAGAACCAGACGGACUCUUUCCUCAUGGCCGCCCGGCUCGUCCGCAGAGGAUGGGUGGAGGAGGUGGAGGAGGGCAGGAGAGCUGGUUGCCAGUUCUCCCAUCAUGUUCACUCAGCACAUCACACAUGUCCCUCCGGGUCAGAUGGAAUCCAGGGACCGAACCGAGCUGAGAUCUUCUCAAAGGAGUCACGGAGCAGACGGAUCUGUGUCAUGAAGACAGUCGAGGACAGACAGACAGGCUCUGAACAGUCAGACAGACAGUCAGACAGACAGGGAGACAGUGUGUGUAUCUGGACGUCCGGUUGUCGUGGAACAUACAAACAGUCCCGGAGGUUCAAGGCUCCGAUGCUUCCAGUCAUUUCUGAGAUGUGACGAGUUUCACUGGAGACACGUGACUCAAAGUUCACAUGAAAAAACACGGGGUUAAAAAACAUUGUCUUGACGAAGGUUCAAGUUUAGUCAGAACAUGAAUAAUGUGAUGUCAUGAUGAAUGGACAGUGUGGUCAUUUUGAUCUGUUCAAUAAAAUUAAAAUAUGUACAAAUGCAA
Molecule: long non-coding RNA, 774 nt
Organism: Scophthalmus maximus (turbot)
Lineage: Eukaryota; Metazoa; Chordata; Actinopteri; Pleuronectiformes; Scophthalmidae
Exons: 3
Source: RefSeq, a predicted model, not a curated record